Molecule: transfer RNA, 66 nt
Filed under: Loxocorone allax
Lineage: Eukaryota; Metazoa; Entoprocta; Loxosomatidae
Description: tRNA-Lys
Source: RNAcentral
UUUUGCUUAGCUUAAAUAAAAGCGUUAGCCUUUUAAGCUAAUUAUUCAUACUUUUUGAAGUAAGGU